GACGAACGCUGGCGGCGUGCUUAACACAUGCAAGUCGAACGGAAAGGCCCUGCUUUUGUGGGGUGCUCGAGUGGCGAACGGGUGAGUAACACGUGAGUAACCUGCCCUUGACUUUGGGAUAACUUCAGGAAACUGGGGCUAAUACCGGAUAGGAGCUCCUGCUGCAUGGUGGGGGUUGGAAAGUUUCGGCGGUUGGGGAUGGACUCGCGGCUUAUCAGCUUGUUGGUGGGGUAGUGGCUUACCAAGGCUUUGACGGGUAGCCGGCCUGAGAGGGUGACCGGCCACACUGGGACUGAGAUACGGCCCAGACUCCUACGGGAGGCAGCAGUGGGGAAUAUUGCACAAUGGGAGCAAGCCUGAUGCAGCCAUGCCGCGUGUAUGCAGAAGGCCUUCGGGUUGUAAAGGACUUUCAGCGGGGAGGAAGGGAGUAAAGUUAAUCCCUUUGCUCAUUGACGUUACCCGCAGAAGAAGCACCGGCUAACUCCGUGC
Molecule: ribosomal RNA, 489 nt
Filed under: uncultured bacterium
Lineage: Bacteria
Description: partial 16S ribosomal RNA
Rfam family: Bacterial small subunit ribosomal RNA
Source: RNAcentral